This 263-nucleotide ribosomal RNA is filed under the name Branchinella pinderi. RNAcentral's name for it is "partial 16S ribosomal RNA". Lineage: Eukaryota; Metazoa; Arthropoda; Branchiopoda; Anostraca; Thamnocephalidae. The record is from RNAcentral.
UUCUAUUUACUUGAAGUUAAUUAUUUGGUGAAAAAGCUAAAUUUUUCUUAGAGGACGAUAAGACCCUAUAGAUCUUUAUAAAAUUAUAUCAGUUUUUUGGAUGUUAUCAAACUGGUAGAUUUUUUAUUUCGUUGGGGCGACGUUGAGGGUUGAUUUAUCUCUCAAAAUGAUAUUACAUUAAUUAAUGAUUUUUGAUCCUUUGGUGAAUUAGGAUAAAGUUACCUUAGGGAUAACAGCGUAAUUUUUCUUGAGAGUUCUUAUCG